Molecule: small nuclear RNA, 331 nt
Filed under: Heterocephalus glaber (naked mole-rat)
Lineage: Eukaryota; Metazoa; Chordata; Mammalia; Rodentia; Bathyergidae
Description: 7SK RNA
Rfam family: 7SK RNA
About the family: 7SK was discovered as an abundant small nuclear RNA in the mid-70s but a possible function has only recently been suggested. Two independent studies have found that 7SK RNA binds the CDK9/cyclin T complex (known as elongation factor P-TEFb).
Source: Rfam by way of RNAcentral
GGAUGUGAGGGCGAUCUGGCUGCGACAUCUGUCACCCCAUUGAUCGCCAGGGUUGAUUCGGCUGAUCUGGCUGGCUAGGCGGGUGUCCCCUUCCUCCCUCACCGCUCCAUGUGCGUCCCUCCCGAAGCUGCGCGCUCGGUCGAAGAGGACGACCACCCCCGAUAGAGGAGGACCGUUCCUCGGUCAAGGGUAUACGAGUAGCUGCGCUCCCCUGCUAGAACCUCCAAACAAGCUCUCAAGGUCCAUUUGUAGGAGAACGUAGGGUAGUCAAGCUUCCAAGACUCCAGACACAUCCAAAUGAGGCGCUGCACGUGGCAGUCUGCCUUCCUUU